This 694-nucleotide ribosomal RNA is filed under the name uncultured bacterium. RNAcentral's name for it is "bacterial SSU rRNA". It matches the Rfam family "Bacterial small subunit ribosomal RNA", at positions 32 to 715 of the family's 1533-position model. The record is from RNAcentral.
AACGCUAGCUACAGGCUUAACACAUGCAAGUUGAGGGGCAGCAUGGUCUUAGCUUGCUAAGGCCGAUGGCGACCGGCGCACGGGUGAGUAACACGUAUCCAACCUGCCGUCUACUCUUGGACAGCCUUCUGAAAGGAAGAUUAAUACAAGAUGGCAUCAUGAGUCCGCAUGUUCACAUGAUUAAAGGUAUUCCGGUAGACGAUGGGGAUGCGUUCCAUUAGAUAGUUGGCGGGGUAACGGCCCACCUAGUCUUCGAUGGAUAGGGGUUCUGAGAGGAAGGUCCCCCACAUUGGAACUGAGACACGGUCCAAACUCCUACGGGAGGCAGCAGUGAGGAAUAUUGGUCAAUGGGCGAGAGCCUGAACCAGCCAAGUAGCGUGAAGGAUGACUGCCCUAUGGGUUGUAAACUUCUUUUAUAAAGGAAUAAAGUCGGGUAUGUAUACCCGUUUGCAUGUACUUUAUGAAUAAGGAUCGGCUAACUCCGUGCCAGCAGCCGCGGUAAUACGGAGGAUCCGAGCGUUAUCCGGAUUUAUUGGGUUUAAAGGGAGCGUAGAUGGAUGUUUAAGUCAGUUGUGAAAGUUUGCGGCUCAACCGUAAAAUUGCAGUUGAUACUGGAUAUCUUGAGUGCAGUUGAGGCAGGCGGAAUUCGUGGUGUAGCGGUGAAAUGCUUAGAUAUCACGAAGAACUCCGAUUG